GUGGGGAAUAUUGGACAAUGGGCGAAAGCCUGAUCCAGCCAUGCCGCGUGUGUGAAGAAGGUCUUCGGAUUGUAAAGCACUUUAAGUUGGGAGGAAGGGCAGUAAGUUAAUACCUUGCUGUUUUGACGUUACCAACAGAAUAAGCACCGGCUAACUUCGUGCCAGCAGCCGCGGUAAUACGAAGGGUGCAAGCGUUAAUCGGAAUUACUGGGAGUAAAGCGCGCGUAGGUGGUUCAGCAAGUUGGAGGUGAAAUCCCCGGGCUCAACCUGGGAACUGCCUCCAAAACUACUGAGCUAGAGUACGGUAGAGGGUAGUGGAAUUUCCUGUGUAGCGGUGAAAUGCGUAGAUAUAGGAAGGAACACCAGUGGCGAAGGCGACCACCUGGACUGAUACUGACACUGAGGUGCGAAAGCGUGGGGAGCAAACAGGAUUAGAUACCCUUGUAGUCC
RNAcentral lists this ribosomal RNA (450 nucleotides) under uncultured bacterium. RNAcentral's name for it is "partial 16S ribosomal RNA". It matches the Rfam family "Bacterial small subunit ribosomal RNA", at positions 354 to 796 of the family's 1533-position model. The record is from RNAcentral.